RNAcentral lists this ribosomal RNA (253 nucleotides) under uncultured bacterium. RNAcentral describes it as "partial 16S ribosomal RNA". It matches the Rfam family "Bacterial small subunit ribosomal RNA", at positions 524 to 776 of the family's 1533-position model. The record is from RNAcentral.
UACAGAGGUCCCAAGCGUUGUUCGGAUUCAUUGGGCGUAAAGAGCGCGCAGGCGGUCGUUCAAGUCGGAUGUGAAAGCCCCCGGCUCAACUGGGGAGGGUCAUUCGAUACUGAUCGACUCGAAGGCGGGAGAGGGAAGCGGAAUUCCCGGUGUAGUGGUGAAAUGCGUAGAUAUCGGGAGGAACACCAGUGGCGAAGGCGGCUUCCUGGCCCGUUCUUGACGCUGAGGCGCGAAAGCUAGGGGAGCAAACGGG